GAUGAACGCUGGCGGCGUGCCUAAUACAUGCAAGUCGAGCGAACGGACGAGAAGCUUGCUUUUCUGAUGUUAGCGGCGGACGGGUGAGUAACACGUGGAUAACCUACCUAUAAGACUGGGAUAACUUCGGGAAACCGGAGCUAAUACCGGAUAAUAUUUUGAACCGCAUGGUUCAAAAGUGAAAGACGGUCUUGCUGUCACUUAUAGAUGGAUCCGCGCUGCAUUAGCUAGUUGGUAAGGUAACGGCUUACCAAGGCAACGAUGCAUAGCCGACCUGAGAGGGUGAUCGGCCACACUGGAACUGAGACACGGUCCAGACUCUUACGGGAGGCAGCAGUAGGGAAUCUUCCGCAAUGGGCGAAAGCCUGACGGAGCAACGCCGCGUGAGUGAUGAAGGUCUUCGGAUCGUAAAACUCUGUUAUUAGGGUAGAACAUAUGUGUAAGUAACUGUGCACAUCUUGACGGUACCUAAUCAGAAAGCCACGGCUAACUACGUG
RNAcentral lists this ribosomal RNA (497 nucleotides) under uncultured bacterium. RNAcentral describes it as "partial 16S ribosomal RNA". It matches the Rfam family "Bacterial small subunit ribosomal RNA", at positions 28 to 507 of the family's 1533-position model. The record is from RNAcentral.